CCGCUCCUACGGGAGGCAGCAGUGGGGAAUAUUGCACAAUGGGCGCAAGCCUGAUGCAGCAACGCCGCGUGAGCGAAGAAGGUCUUCGGAUCGUAAAGCUCUGUCCUUGAGGAAGAAGGAAGUGACGGUACUCAAGGAGGAAGCCCCGGCUAACUACGUGCCAGCAGCCGCGGUAAAACGUAGGGUGCAAGCGUUGUCCGGAAUUACUGGGUGUAAAGGGAGCGCAGGCGGAUUGACAAGUUGGGAGUGAAAACUACGGGCUCAACCCGUAACCUGCUUUCAAAACUGUCAGUCUUGAGUGGUGG
This 305-nucleotide ribosomal RNA is filed under the name uncultured bacterium. Its description in RNAcentral is "bacterial SSU rRNA". It matches the Rfam family "Bacterial small subunit ribosomal RNA", at positions 333 to 652 of the family's 1533-position model. The record is from RNAcentral.